RNAcentral lists this small nucleolar RNA (71 nucleotides) under Euglena gracilis. Its description in RNAcentral is "Eg-m142.1 box C/D methylation-guide". The record is from RNAcentral. Lineage: Eukaryota; Euglenozoa; Euglenophyceae; Euglenales; Euglenaceae.
CUCGUGAUGACACCCGGCUCCCUCUACUGAGGUAAUGAGGAGACUCUCCACCGAACCCAUUUCUUCUGAGG